Molecule: small RNA, 58 nt
Filed under: Caenorhabditis elegans
Lineage: Eukaryota; Metazoa; Nematoda; Chromadorea; Rhabditida; Rhabditidae
Description: Unclassified non-coding RNA F46H6.12
Source: RNAcentral
UUCUUGGGCAAGCAACAUGAUGAGUCAUUUGUUAAAUUCCCAGAGUAACGAAUCAAUU